UCUCUCUCUCUCUCUCUCAGACCCAGAGAGGACGAACAAAACAGAACAAACCCAGAAGAAACAGAACAAAACAAACGCUAAGACCCAAAAUCCAACUAUUCUUCUUCUUUCUCUCUCACUGUCAAAGCCUGAGCUCCCAAAACCCUAACUUUCUCUCUCGAUUUUUAUUUUCCCUAUUUUAUUUUCCGCAAUAAUAAUACUAAUAAUUGAAUAAUCAUUCUCUCUAUCUGUCUCUCGUACAU
RNAcentral lists this unclassified non-coding RNA (242 nucleotides) under Hevea brasiliensis (rubber tree). Lineage: Eukaryota; Viridiplantae; Streptophyta; Magnoliopsida; Malpighiales; Euphorbiaceae. The record is from RNAcentral.